RNAcentral lists this ribosomal RNA (253 nucleotides) under uncultured bacterium. RNAcentral describes it as "partial 16S ribosomal RNA". It matches the Rfam family "Bacterial small subunit ribosomal RNA", at positions 524 to 776 of the family's 1533-position model. The record is from RNAcentral.
UACGUAGGGUGCAAGCGUUGUCCGGAAUUAUUGGGCGUAAAGAGCUUGUAGGCGGUUUGUCGCGUCUGCUGUGAAAUUUCGGGGCUCAACCCCGAACUUGCAGUGGGUACGGGCAGACUAGAGUGUGGUAGGGGAGACUGGAAUUCCAGGUGUAGCGGUGAAAUGCGUAGAUAUCUGGAGGAACACCGGUGGCGAAGGCGGCAUCCUGGACCAAUACUGACGCUGAGGAGCGAAAGCCAGGGGAGCAAACGGG